This is a ribosomal RNA of Cryptococcus neoformans, 119 nucleotides long. Lineage: Eukaryota; Fungi; Basidiomycota; Tremellomycetes; Tremellales; Cryptococcaceae. The record is from Rfam.
AUCCGCAGCCAUAACCUUCAUACAACACCCUGUCACAUCCGAUCCAGGACGUUAAGUUGAAGAGCGCUAGGUUAGUAUCAUGGCUGGAACCGCUCGACAAAAAACGCAAACCACAGACA